This 61-nucleotide microRNA precursor is filed under the name Limulus polyphemus (Atlantic horseshoe crab). Its description in RNAcentral is "Lpo-Mir-1993-P3_pre stem-loop". Lineage: Eukaryota; Metazoa; Arthropoda; Merostomata; Xiphosura; Limulidae. The record is from RNAcentral.
UCGCGAAUGCUAGCACAAUUAUGUUAAUAACUCAGUUCAUAUUAUGCUAGUGUUCGUGGGU